AACGCGAAGAACCUUACCCGGACUUGACAUCCUCGGAACCUGCCAGAGAUGGUGGGGUGCUCGCAAGAGAGCCGAGAGACAGGUGCUGCAUGGCUGUCGUCAGCUCGUGUCGUGAGAUGUUGGGUUAAGUCCCGCAACGAGCGCAACCCUCGCCUUUAGUUGCCAUCAUUCAGUUGGGCACUCUAGAGGGACUGCCGAUGUUAAAUCGGAGGAAGGUGGGGAUGACGUCAAGUCCUCAUGGCCUUUAUGUCCGGGGCUACACACGUGCUACAAUGGUCGGUACAAAGGGUUGCUAACUCGCGAGAGGGAGCCAAUCCCAAAAAACCGGUCUCAGUUCGGAUCGAAGUCUGCAACUCGACUUCGUGAAGGAGGAAUCGCUAGUAAUCGCGGAUCAGCACGCCGCGGUGAAUACGUUCCCGGGCCUUGUACACACCGCGAGC
Molecule: ribosomal RNA, 440 nt
Filed under: uncultured bacterium
Lineage: Bacteria
Description: bacterial SSU rRNA
Rfam family: Bacterial small subunit ribosomal RNA
Source: RNAcentral